RNAcentral lists this long non-coding RNA (1068 nucleotides) under Homo sapiens (human). RNAcentral's name for it is "HSALNT0309489". The record is from RNAcentral. Lineage: Eukaryota; Metazoa; Chordata; Mammalia; Primates; Hominidae.
AGGGAGAGGGCCGGAUGCCGGGCGUAUGGGCCACACUUGGUGGUCCUCCUGCUGCGCCGCCUCAGGGGACUCCCUGCCUGGCUUUGCCUGUGCUGGCCGGAAAUCAUCUCCCCUUACUCCCCAGCAAUGCAAGCUGCAUGUGCAGCAGGAGGGAGGGUAGGACACAUCGGAAACCACCGGGCUCGGCGAUUGGGCUUUGAGAUCUUGGAGCUACCACACCCAAGAGACUAGGAGCUGAGGGUGGCCGGGAGGAAUCUACUCCCUGAAGAGCGCCCACCCACCCAGCCCAGUGUUUCCCCUGGGAGCCCAGGGCAGCCUUACUUCUCGGGGUUGUAACUAGGCCUCCUGACUACCCCCAGCCACCACUUACAUGGGAAACAUUUUAUAACCUGCUUUCUGGCGGGCAAGGCCAGGCUCCCGUGGGCUGCCUUCCUUCUGAAGUUUUCCAUUCAAUUAUUUACACGAGCCCACAGACCUCUGCAGGAAGUCGGCAGGCACAGGGUAGCAUUUAUUCUUCUGCUGUCUCAUUUGUGGAGGGACCUCCCUUCUCUUGAAUGUGGCUCCUUUGGAGGUCAGAGACUGAGGACGGUGGCAUCAUCUAGAUCCCCGUUGUUUAUUCUUGAGGCCAGAGCAUUGCCCACCAGGUGUUUCCCAGGCACGGACCCCUUGCCCAGCGUGGCAUUCAGAGGGGGCAGCUCCGGCCGCCUGCUCAGGAGUGGGGUGGGAUGGGGAGCUGCCUCUGGAGCCUUGUGCUGAAGGAGAGGACCGUUGACGGAGAAGGACAUCACCCAAGUCCUGGGGCCUUUGGGGAAAGUAGGAAACCUGCCUGUCCUACAGGAGAAGAGACCACCUCACCAACUUUGAAGGAUGCAGGCCUUGUUUAGAGCAGAUCUCAGAAUUGGUGCCCUGCGGGCUCCAGGCCUUGGCCCUGCUGGUGGAUGAAAGUGGCACAACCUGCCCUGAGGCCUGAGUGUCACGGGAACAACAGCUAGACGGCUAGACACUGGCCCCCUCACCCCACCUCCCAGGGUGGCACGGCUGUCCAGAUAUGGUGCUGAGGGAGGUCAG